RNAcentral lists this transfer RNA (67 nucleotides) under Pygoluciola qingyu. Its description in RNAcentral is "tRNA-Arg". RNAcentral also lists the same sequence under 1 other name. Lineage: Eukaryota; Metazoa; Arthropoda; Insecta; Coleoptera; Lampyridae. The record is from RNAcentral.
AAAUAAGAAACAAAAUUAUUGUAACUAGUUUCGACCUAGUAUCUUGAUGAUAAAUCAUCCUUAUUUA